Long non-coding RNA from Vidua macroura (Pin-tailed whydah), 602 nucleotides. RefSeq lists it as uncharacterized. Lineage: Eukaryota; Metazoa; Chordata; Aves; Passeriformes; Viduidae. The record is from RefSeq and is a predicted model, not a curated record. The transcript has 2 exons.
AGCGGGACAGGCCGGACAGUGGGACAGGACGGAGAACGGGACAGGCUGGACAAUGGGAUGGGCCAGAGAACGGGACGGGCCGGACAACGAGCCAGACGCUCCCCAGGAACGGGAUUGGGAUUUGGGAUUUGGGAUUCUCCUCAACACCGGCGGCUCCCGGUCCCGCCCGAACGGGGCCGCGCCCUCACGGGUUGUGCCUGCAGAGUUGUGGGGUUGGCGCCAAAAUUUUGGGGUCCUGACGUUGUCCCCAAAGAUUUUGGGUCCUGGUGUUGCCCAAAAAAGCUUUGGGGUCUUGGCAUUGUCACCGAAAUUUGUGGGGUUCCAGCAUUGUCCCCAAAAUUUUGGGGUCCUAAGGUUGUCCCCAGAAGUUUUGGGGUCCUGGCGUUGUCCCCAGGGUGUCCCCAAAGGUGGCGGGGACACACAGGGGACACAGCCCCCCCCCGGACUGUCCCCGCCCGGCUGGCACCAGGAUGAGCCAGACUUCAGGAUUUGGGACUUCAGGAUUUGGGAUUUUGGGGUUCCGGGACCACUCCCGGCCGAUGGAAUCCUCGCUCUGCCAUAUAAACUCAUUAAUUAAUGCCAAUUAAAGACGUUUCCUACAA